GUGAGGAAUAUUGGUCAAUGGACGAGAGUCUGAACCAGCCAAGUCGCGUGAAGGAAGAAGGAUCUAUGGUUCGUAAACUUCUUUUGCAGGGGAAUAAAGUGCGGGACGUGUCCUGUUUUGUAUGUACCCUGAGAAUAAGGAUCGGCUAACUCCGUGCCAGCAGCCGCGGUAAUACGGAGGAUCCGAGCGUUAUCCGGAUUUAUUGGGUUUAAAGGGUGCGUAGGUAGUUUGAUAAGUCAGCGGUGAAAGUUUGAAGCUUAACUGUAAAAAUGCCGUUGAAACUGUCGGGCUUGAGUGUAAAUGAGGUAGGCGGAAUGCGUGGUGUAGCGGUGAAAUGCAUAGAUAUCACGCAGAACUCCGAUUGCGAAGGCAGCUUACUAAGCUACAACUGACACUGAAGCACGAAAGCGUGGGGAUCAAACAGGAUUAGAUACCCCGGUAGUCC
This 445-nucleotide ribosomal RNA is filed under the name uncultured bacterium. Its description in RNAcentral is "partial 16S ribosomal RNA". It matches the Rfam family "Bacterial small subunit ribosomal RNA", at positions 354 to 796 of the family's 1533-position model. The record is from RNAcentral.